UUUCCGUAGGUGAACCUGCGGAAGGAUCAUUAUCGAAUUUCGAGGGGACGGAAGAUGAGGAGUGGAGACUGCCGCUGGCUUUCCCGCCUGGGAAGCAUGUGCACGCCUUGCUUUUCGUUGACCUUUCUCUUACUCUCACACCUGUGCACCCAUCGUAGGUCCUCGAAAGAGGAUCUAUGUUUUUAUCAUCACACGCAUCGUAUGUCCAUAGAAUGUAACAUGAUCGUCGAUCGACCUCGCGGUCGGGUGGCGGUCUAAAUAAAUAAAUACAACUUUCAGCAACGGAUCUCUUGGCUCUC
RNAcentral lists this unclassified non-coding RNA (299 nucleotides) under plant metagenome. RNAcentral describes it as "partial contains small subunit ribosomal RNA, internal transcribed spacer 1, and 5.8S ribosomal RNA". The record is from RNAcentral.